RNAcentral lists this ribosomal RNA (254 nucleotides) under uncultured bacterium. RNAcentral describes it as "partial 16S ribosomal RNA". It matches the Rfam family "Bacterial small subunit ribosomal RNA", at positions 524 to 776 of the family's 1533-position model. The record is from RNAcentral.
UACGGGGGGAGCAAGCGUUGUUCGGAUUUACUGGGCGUAAAGGGCGCGUAGGCGGCCUUCUAAGUCAGACGUGAAAUCCCCCGGCUUAACCUGGGAACUGCGUCUGAUACUGGAGGGCUUGAGUGCGGGAGAGGGAUGUGGAAUUCCAGGUGUAGCGGUGAAAUGCGUAGAUAUCUGGAGGAACACCGGUGGCGAAGGCGGCGAUCCUGGACCGACACUGACGCUGAGGCGCGAAAGCUAGGGUAGCAAACGGG